AAGAGAAUAGUUGGGAAUCCAGGAUCGAAGAUAUCCAGCCAUGCCCAGAAAGGAAAGAAGUUCCCUUUUGGUUGUGGGGACUGGGAUAUCCCGAAGUGUUUGUUUUCUGUCUAGUGUGAUUGAUUUGAACUCAGGUGUUAAAGAUACUCCUAAAUAGGUGACCUGUUGUUUGAAAAGUUGGACAUUUGUUGGUGACACCCGAUAUCCUUUCUGAGAGAUAAAGUUUAGGAGUGUGUAAGUGUCUUGCUGGAGUGUGAGUAAUGAAGGAGCACAGAGAAGGAGUUCAUCUACAUACUGAAUACACUGUGUAUCGUUGAGUUGGAGAAGAGAAAGAUCUUGGGCUAGAAUUUGACCAAACAGGUGGGGGCUAUCUCUAAAACCCUGAGGCAAGACAGUCCAGGUAAGCUGGGUAGACACAUUGGUGAAGGGAUCGGUCCAGGUGAAUGUGAAAAUAUUUUGAGAGUCUUUAUGUAAGGGGAUAGAAAAGAAUGCAUCUUUGAGGUCUAAAACAGAAAAAUAAGUGGCAUCGGAUCGAAUGGAAGACAGGAGUGUAUAUGGGUUUGGCACGAUAGGAUGUAUAGGAACUACAGCUGAGUUAAUGAUCCUAAGGUUUUGAACCAAUGUCUAUGUCCCAUUAGGUUUUUUUACUGCUAAAAUGGGGGUGUUAUAGGGAGAGUUGGCAUGUCUCAGGAGUCUCUUUUGUAAGAGAUCAUGGAUUAUGGGGGUUAAUCCCUCUAAGCUAGAGCGGGGAAGGGGGUAUUGUGCCAAGUUAGGGAAUUGUGAGGGAUUUUUAAGGAGAAUUUUGACGGGACAUUUGGCUACUGAGGGAGAGUGGAUAUCCCAUACUUGAGGAUUAACAAGAGAGGGGCUAAUUGGCCAGUUGGAUUGGGAAGAUGAGGAUUGGAGGGCUUGAGAUAGUACCAGGCAGAGGGAAGUUGUCGGAGUGUUGGAAGGGCUCGGCAUAGA
Molecule: long non-coding RNA, 966 nt
Organism: Fukomys damarensis (Damara mole-rat)
Lineage: Eukaryota; Metazoa; Chordata; Mammalia; Rodentia; Bathyergidae
Exons: 2
Source: RefSeq, a predicted model, not a curated record